RNAcentral lists this ribosomal RNA (483 nucleotides) under uncultured bacterium. Its description in RNAcentral is "partial 16S ribosomal RNA". It matches the Rfam family "Bacterial small subunit ribosomal RNA", at positions 28 to 507 of the family's 1533-position model. The record is from RNAcentral.
GACGAACGCUGGCGGCGUGCUUAACACAUGCAAGUCGAACGCUGAAGCUCAGCUUUUGUUGGGUGGAUGAGUGGCGAACGGGUGAGUAACACGUGAGUAACCUGCCCCCUUCUUGGGGAUAACGCCCGGAAACGGGUGCUAAUACUGGAUAUUCACUGGUCUUCGCAUGGGGGUUGGUGCAAAGGGUUUUUCUGGUUGGUGAUGGGCUCGCGGCCUAUAAGCUGGUUGGUGGGGUGAUGGCCUACCAAGACUUUGACGGGUAGCAGGCCUUAGAGGGUGACCGGUCACAUUGGGACUGGGAUACGGCCCAGACUCAUACGGGAGGCAGCAGUGGGGAAUAUUGCACAAUGGGCGCAAGCCUGAUGCAGCGACGACGCGUGAGGGUUGGAGGCCUUCGGGUUGUGAACCUCUUGCGCUGAUGGUCAAGCCGCAACAAUGGUUGUGGUGAGGGUAGUCGGUAAAGAAGCGCCGGCUAACUACGUG